AGUGAACGCUGGCGGUAGGCCUAACACAUGCAAGUCGAACGGCAGCACAGUAAGAGCUUGCUCUUACGGGUGGCGAGUGGCGGACGGGUGAGGAAUACAUCGGAAUCUACUUUUUCGUGGGGGAUAACGUAGGGAAACUUACGCUAAUACCGCAUACGACCUACGGGUGAAAGCAGGGGAUCUUCGGACCUUGCGCGAUUGAAUGAGCCGCUGUCGGAUUAGCUAGUUGGGGGGGUAAAGGCCCACCAAGGCGACGAUACGUAGCUGGUCUGAGUGGAUGGUCAGCCACCCUGGAGCUUGGCCACGGUCCAGGCUCCUACGGGAGGCCGCAGUCGGGAAUAUUGGGCAGUGGGCGCGAGCCUGGUCCAGCCGUCCCGCGUGGGUGAAGAAAGCCUUCGGGUUGUAAAGCCCUUUUGUUGGGUAAGAACCGCUGCCGGUUAAUACCCCGCUGUUCUGACGGUACCCAAAGAAUAAGCACCGGCUAACUUCGUG
RNAcentral lists this ribosomal RNA (492 nucleotides) under uncultured bacterium. RNAcentral describes it as "partial 16S ribosomal RNA". It matches the Rfam family "Bacterial small subunit ribosomal RNA", at positions 29 to 507 of the family's 1533-position model. The record is from RNAcentral.